UGGCGAACGGGUGAGUAACACGUGGGUGAUCUGCCCUGCACUUCGGGAUAAGCUUGGGAAACUGGGUCUAAUACCGGAUAGGAGCCAUCUUUAGUGUGGUGGUUGGAGAGUUUUUUCGGUGUAGGAUGAGCUCGCGGCCUAUCAGCUUGUUGGUGGGGUAAUGGCCUACCAAGGCGGCGACGGGUAGCCGGCCUGAGAGGGUGUACGGCCACAUUGGGACUGAGAUACGGCCCAG
RNAcentral lists this ribosomal RNA (235 nucleotides) under uncultured Actinomycetales bacterium. RNAcentral describes it as "partial 16S ribosomal RNA". It matches the Rfam family "Bacterial small subunit ribosomal RNA", at positions 96 to 334 of the family's 1533-position model. The record is from RNAcentral. Lineage: Bacteria; Bacillati; Actinomycetota; Actinomycetes; Actinomycetales.